This 469-nucleotide ribosomal RNA is filed under the name Toxicocalamus sp. Its description in RNAcentral is "partial 12S ribosomal RNA". The stretch from base 1 to 349 matches the Rfam family "Bacterial small subunit ribosomal RNA", at positions 1035 to 1533 of the family's 1533-position model. Lineage: Eukaryota; Metazoa; Chordata; Lepidosauria; Squamata; Elapidae. The record is from RNAcentral.
CAGUCUAUAUACCGCCGUCGCCAGCUUACCUUGUGAAAGAAAUAGAGUAAGCCCAACAAUUCUACAUUAACACGACAGGUCGAGGUGUAACCACAUGGGUGGGACCAAGAUGGGCUACAUUUUCUAACUUAGAAAACACGAAUAGACUAUGAAACUAAAAACUGAAGGCGGAUUUAGCAGUAAGAUGGAAAUAAACACGCCCAACCGAAACUAAUGCAAUGAAGUGCGCACACACCGCCCGUCAUCCCUGUAAAACUACUCAAAACAUUAAUAAUACCCACCACCUUUAAAGCAGGGCAAGUCGUAACAUGGUAAGCGUACUGGAAAGUGCGCUUAGAGACAAAAAGUAGCUUACACCAAAGCAUUCGACCUACAAUCGAAAGACAUUCAACAAUCUUUUUGAGCUAAAAUAAUAACCACACAAAUAUCCUCAUAUAAUUAAACAAACCAUUUGAUUUUACCAAGUAGA